GGGAUUGUGGCUCAGUGGAAGAGUGCUUGUCUACCAUGCAUGAGGCCCUGGGUUCAAACCUCAGCACCA
RNAcentral lists this transfer RNA (69 nucleotides) under Ictidomys tridecemlineatus (thirteen-lined ground squirrel). RNAcentral describes it as "Spermophilus tridecemlineatus (thirteen-lined ground squirrel) tRNA". It matches the Rfam family "tRNA". Rfam says of the family: Transfer RNA (tRNA) molecules are approximately 80 nucleotides in length. Their secondary structure includes four short double-helical elements and three loops (D, anti-codon, and T loops). Further hydrogen bonds mediate the characteristic L-shaped molecular structure. tRNAs have two regions of fundamental functional importance: the anti-codon, which is responsible for specific mRNA codon recognition, and the 3' end, to which the tRNAs corresponding amino acid is attached (by aminoacyl-tRNA synthetases). tRNAs cope with the degeneracy of the genetic code in two manners: having more than one tRNA (with a specific anti-codon) for a particular amino acid; and 'wobble' base-pairing, i.e. permitting non-standard base-pairing at the 3rd anti-codon position. The record is from Rfam by way of RNAcentral. Lineage: Eukaryota; Metazoa; Chordata; Mammalia; Rodentia; Sciuridae.